This 95-nucleotide transfer RNA is filed under the name Clavulina sp. PMI_390. It matches the Rfam family "tRNA". From Rfam's summary of the family: Transfer RNA (tRNA) molecules are approximately 80 nucleotides in length. Their secondary structure includes four short double-helical elements and three loops (D, anti-codon, and T loops). Further hydrogen bonds mediate the characteristic L-shaped molecular structure. tRNAs have two regions of fundamental functional importance: the anti-codon, which is responsible for specific mRNA codon recognition, and the 3' end, to which the tRNAs corresponding amino acid is attached (by aminoacyl-tRNA synthetases). tRNAs cope with the degeneracy of the genetic code in two manners: having more than one tRNA (with a specific anti-codon) for a particular amino acid; and 'wobble' base-pairing, i.e. permitting non-standard base-pairing at the 3rd anti-codon position. The record is from Rfam by way of RNAcentral. Lineage: Eukaryota; Fungi; Basidiomycota; Agaricomycetes; Cantharellales; Hydnaceae.
GCCUGGCUAGCUCAAUCGGUAGAGCGUGAGACUCUUACGCAAAAUGAAUUACGUAAUCCAUCUCAAGGUUGUGGGUUCGACCCCCACGUUAGGCU